CCUACGGGAGGCAGCAGUAGGGAAUCUUCCGCAAUGGACGAAAGUCUGACGGAGCAACGCCGCGUGAACGAUGAAGGCCUUCGGGUCGUAAAGUUCUGUUGUUAGGGAAGAACAAGUGCUAGUUAAAUAAGCUGGCACCUUGACGGUACCUAACCAGAAAGCCACGGCUAACUACGUGCCAGCAGCCGCGGUAAUACGUAGGUGGCAAGCGUUGUCCGGAAUUAUUGGGCGUAAAGCGCGCGCAGGCGGUUUCUUAAGUCUGAUGUGAAAGCCCCCGGCUCAACCGGGGAGGGUCAUUGGAAACUGGGAAACUUGAGUGCAGAAGAGGAAAGUGGAAUUCCAAGUGUAGCGGUGAAAUGCGUAGAGAUUUGGAGGAACACCAGUGGCGAAGGCGACUUUCUGGUCUGUAACUGACGCUGAGGCGCGAAAGCGUGGGGAGCAAACAGGAUUAGAUACCCUGGUAGUCCACGCUGUAAACGAUGAGUGCUAAGUGUUAGAGGGUUUCCGCCCUUUAGUGCUGAAGUUAACGCAUUAAGCACUCCGCCUGGGGAGUACGGUCGCAAGACUGAAACUCAAAAGGAAUUGACGGCUGAGCGNGCGACGACGACACGAGGGAGAGG
This 620-nucleotide ribosomal RNA is filed under the name uncultured bacterium. RNAcentral's name for it is "bacterial SSU rRNA". It matches the Rfam family "Bacterial small subunit ribosomal RNA", at positions 338 to 950 of the family's 1533-position model. The record is from RNAcentral.